Oryzias latipes (Japanese medaka) is the source of this 2001-nucleotide non-coding RNA. The record is from RefSeq and is a predicted model, not a curated record. Lineage: Eukaryota; Metazoa; Chordata; Actinopteri; Beloniformes; Adrianichthyidae.
ACCACAAGCUGACCCUUUAAACACAUUAAUGCCAAAUAUGACAUCACCCAUUUGCCAACGUCAACACCUGAUAAUGGCUGACCGUUUAUGAAUCUGCUGUGUUGUGAUGGUGAAAUUGUGGAUUAAUUAUAAAAAAAUAAAUGUAAAUACUUUUUUUAAUUAAAAAUAACAAGUCGUUCAAAUGCAAUGCAUUGAAGUCUUCCAGAUUUUGGAAUAGUAGAUUUGCCCAGCACUACAGAAAGUGCACUGUGUAGAGAGCAGUGAAGGAGUUCAGUCACAGUCUAGGGGUCUUGAUCAGUGCUGCUCACUCCUGGUCGUCCUACCACCCCGUCUAGAAAACCCAGUUUUCUACAUCUCUAAUCCCUGCUUGGUUAACUCAGUCAGGUGCUUCCACAUUCUGAUUGAAUAAACACACCUGGUUCAGGUAAAAGGUAGCAUGAUUCGGUUCAUUUAGAAAUGAAGGACUCAAUGUGUUGCUGAGAGCUUCAAGACUUACCAGAUAACAGCUGUAACAGAAGCUCACUUCAACAGCAUAUAAACAGGUCAACUUCGGUACUAUAUGUGUAUUACACAGCAGAUGUUAGAAGGAGCCACAAAGUUAAAUUGUUGCCACAAUCAAAUAAGGGAAAAAUAAUUACAAUUUUGCCCCUCUCACGAUGCCGUUGUGGAAAAAGGGCUCAUCAAAAUCUGGUUUUGGUCCUUCUUUGCCAAAUUCUAGUUGUUAAGCUAUAAAGACAGGAACUGUUAAAUAACAAAUUUCUUGUUUUAUGGUAAUUGCACAUCAUGUUCUUAUUGUGAAAGGGCCGGUUGGAUGGGAUGGGUCGUUGUUGUGUUGAUGAUGGUGGAAUGAAUAAAGAAAACGUUACGCUGCGAAGUGAAUUUCAAUUUUGUUUAACAUUGGUAGCAGGGGAUGAUUAGCAACUACAGAGUCCUACAAACCUUUGACGAAGGAAAACCGUACAAAAGUUGGAAAAAAUAAGUUGGACCCGAGUUACAGACCUUGAAAAGAAGAAGCAAGCACUCUCCGUUCCUUUGGCGCUUUCUUCUGGGCAAGCGAGAGACGUGGCGAUAGAAAUAUCAAAGGAGGAUUUGCUCAAGGACACAGGACACGUCACUAAUAAAGCUAGAUGAUCGGUUUCUCAAAGAACAAAGACCGGACCUACUCAAGUUUGGAUAACGAGAGACAGUAAUGUAUCCGUGACGGAUUAGAUAAUUGAUUUUGAACAGCGGUAUACUCAAAUGUGUACAUACAAGAGGGAUCUUCCGGAUGCAGUAUGAGCAUUUUGUUAUGUGUGAAUAGAUUUAGUGUCUCUUGGAUGCUGUGCUUGCUGAGUACAGCAAGACUCAUCUCUGUCAGCAAAAGAAAAAGAUCUGCUCACGCCCAAGAUUGGACAAAUUCUCUGGGUUGCAAGGCAGAGUCGACCAAAAGUCUUGUUUGAUGCUUUAAAUCCAUGAAACGAAUAGAACGGUGUGCAAACUGAAAUCCAGUGAGGUGGCUCUGAACUUUGAGCUUCUAGGCAGGGACUCAGCCCUCAAGAUGAGGGUGUUCAGUGAUGCCUCAUUUGGCAAUCUUUCAGAUGGAGCCACUCAAGAAGGAAACCUGAUAGUUCUAAUGGGAGAACGUGGAAAGUUUUCACCGCUCCCCCUCAAAGAGAGUGAACAGAAUUGUGAGGAGCACACCUGCUGGAGAAACACUGGCAAUGUCUGAUGGAACUGACAAUGCACCGUUUGCAGCAACACUGUUCUCUGAACCAACGACUGAACACGCUCCACCCAUAAUCUGUGUCACAGAUUCACUGGCUGACGCACUGAAGUCUGUCUGGAAAAAAGUGCCAACUCAUCCAAGCAGAGUUGAGCGAGUGUUGUGGUACAACGUGAAAGAACAACUUGCAGACUGCUUUACCAAAAGGUGCAUCUGCAUGCUAGUUACCUGAAGCCCCGAGUGAAGGACAAGCGGAACUUAGUUCAUGUUAAAUGCAGCAACAGCAAAUUCAGUGUUGU